Molecule: ribosomal RNA, 513 nt
Filed under: uncultured bacterium
Lineage: Bacteria
Description: partial 16S ribosomal RNA
Rfam family: Bacterial small subunit ribosomal RNA
Source: RNAcentral
AACGAACGCUGGCGGCAUGCCUAAUACAUGCAAGUCGAGCGAACAGAUGAAGUGCUUGCACUUCUGACGUUAGCGGCGAACGGGUGAGCAACACGUAAGGAAUCUACCUAUAAGCGGGGGAUAACAUUCGGAAACGGGUGCUAAUACCGCAUAAUAUCUUCUUCCGCAUGGAAGAAGAUUGAAAGACGGCUCUGCUGUCACUUAUAGAUGACCUUGCGGUGCAUUAGUUAGUUGGUGGGGUAACGGCCUACCAAGACGAUGAAGCAUAGCCGACCUGAGAGGGUGAUCGGCCACAUUGGGACUGAGACACGGCCCAAACUCCUACGGGAGGCAGCAGUAGGGAAUCUUCCGCAAUGGGCGAAAGCCUGACGGAGCAAUGCCGCGUGAGUGAAGAAGGCCUUCGGGUCGUAAAACUCUGUUAUAAGAGAAGAACAAAUUGUAGAGUAACUGCUACAGUCUUGACGGUAUCUUAUCAGAAAGCCACGGCUAACUACGUGCCAGCCGCCGCAGUAA